Molecule: ribosomal RNA, 495 nt
Filed under: uncultured bacterium
Lineage: Bacteria
Description: partial 16S ribosomal RNA
Rfam family: Bacterial small subunit ribosomal RNA
Source: RNAcentral
UGAACGCUGGCGGCGUGCCUAAUACAUGCAAGUCGAGCGAACGGACGAGAAGCUUGCUUCUCUGAUGUUAGCGGCGGACGGGUGAGUAACACGUGGAUAACCUACCUAUAAGACUGGGAUAACUUCGGGAAACCGGAGCUAAUACCGGAUGAUAUUUUGAACCGCAUGGUUCAAAAGUGAAAGACGGUCUUGCUGUCACUUAUAGAUGGAUCCGCGCUGCAUUAGCUAGUUGGUAAGGUAACGGCUUACCAAGGCAACGAUGCAUAGCCGACCUGAGAGGGUGAUCGGCCACACUGGAACUGAGACACGGUCCAGACUCCUACGGGAGGCAGCAGUAGGGAAUCUUCCGCAAUGGGCGAAAGCCUGACGGAGCAACGCCUCGUGAGUGAUGAAGGUCUUCGGAUCGUAAAACUCUGUUAUUAGGGAAGAACAUAUGUGUAAGUAACUGUGCACAUCUUGACGGUACCUAAUCAGAAAGCCACGGCUAACUACGUG